This 547-nucleotide ribosomal RNA is filed under the name Madascincus igneocaudatus (redtail skink). RNAcentral's name for it is "partial 16S ribosomal RNA". It matches the Rfam family "Bacterial large subunit ribosomal RNA", at positions 1818 to 2614 of the family's 2925-position model. Lineage: Eukaryota; Metazoa; Chordata; Lepidosauria; Squamata; Scincidae. The record is from RNAcentral.
GCCUUUAGCAAAACAAGUAUUAAAGGUCCUGCCUGCCCAGUGAUAAAUUUAAACGGCCGCGGUAUUCUAACCGUGCAAAGGUAGCGUAAUCACUUGUCUUCUAAAUAAAGACCAGUAUGAACGGCUAAAUGAGGACAGGCCUGUCUCUUAAGACUAAUCAGUGAAACUGAUCUCCCAGUACAAAAGCUGGGAUAUACACAUCAGACGAGAAGACCCUGUGGAGCUUUAAACCAAACCAACUACUAACAAGCACAAAAUUGCACCUAGUAAGUUUUGAGUUGGGGCGACUUCGGAACAAAACAAAACUUCCGAGCACAGAACCACAAAUUCUAACCACGGCCAACAAGCCAAAGUUAAAAAUAUCAGACCCAGUACCACUGAUCAACGAACCAAGUUACCCCAGGGAUAACAGCGCAAUCUUCUUUAAGAGUCCCUAUCGACAAGAAGGUUUACGACCUCGAUGUUGGAUCAGGACACCCAAAUGGCGCAGCCGCUAUUAAAGGUUCGUUUGUUCAACGAUUAACAGUCCUACGUGAUCUGAGUUCAG